Oxyura jamaicensis (ruddy duck) is the source of this 154-nucleotide long non-coding RNA. RefSeq lists it as uncharacterized. The record is from RefSeq and is a predicted model, not a curated record. The transcript is spliced from 4 exons. NCBI's taxonomy places the organism in Eukaryota, Metazoa, Chordata, Aves, Anseriformes, Anatidae.
AUACCAGUCCUGUGAUAGGUAUGCUGCCUGGGCUGAAGGGCGCAAAGCCUUUGAUAUGGUCCCUCACCACAUUCUUCUCUCUAAAUUGGAGAGGUAUGGAUUUGAAGGAUGGACUGUUAGGUGGAUCAAGAAUUGGUUGGCUGGUCUCAGCCAA